This 499-nucleotide ribosomal RNA is filed under the name uncultured bacterium. Its description in RNAcentral is "partial 16S ribosomal RNA". It matches the Rfam family "Bacterial small subunit ribosomal RNA", at positions 38 to 507 of the family's 1533-position model. The record is from RNAcentral.
GGGGGGGGGGGGGGGGGGGGGUGGUGGGGGGGGGGGGGGCGGGGGUGGUCUGGUGGGUGGGCCGGCGGGGCUUGGCGGCGGACGGGUGGGUCACACGUAGGGCACCUGCCUCCUAGACUGGGACGCCUGUUGGAAACGAUAGCGACUACCGGAUAACCGCAUUCACUGCAUGGUUGAUGUUUCACCGUUUGUUUUGCUCACACUAUGAGAUGGCUUUGCGGUGCAUUCGCUAGUUGGUGGGGUAAAGGCCUACCAAGGCGACGAUGCAUAGCCGACCUGAAAGGGUGAUCGGCCACAAUGGAAUUGAGACACGGCCCAGACUCCGACGGGAGGCAGCAGGAGGGAAUCUUACGCAAUGGGCGAAAGCCUGACGGAGCAACGCCGCGUGAGUGAAGAAGGACUUCGGUUCGUAAAGCUCUGUUGUUAGGGAAGAAUGAUUGUGUAGUAACUAUACACAGUAGAGACGGUACCUAAUCAGAAAGCAACGGCUAACUACGUG